Molecule: ribosomal RNA, 253 nt
Filed under: uncultured bacterium
Lineage: Bacteria
Description: partial 16S ribosomal RNA
Rfam family: Bacterial small subunit ribosomal RNA
Source: RNAcentral
UACGUAGGGUGCAGGCGUUAAUCGGAAUUACUGGGCGUAAAGCGUGCGCAGGCGGCUCCUUAAGUCAGAUGUGAAAUCCCCGGGCUUAACCUGGGAACUGCGUUUGAAACUGAGGGGCUUGAGUGUGGAAGAGGGGGGUGGAAUUCCAGGUGUAGCAGUGAAAUGCGUAGAGAUCUGGAGGAACACCGAUGGCGAAGGCAGCCCCCUGGGCUAACACUGACGCUCAUGCACGAAAGCGUGGGGAGCAAACAGG